GCACAAGCGGUGGAUGAUGUGGUUUAAUUCGAUGCAACGCGAAAACCUUACCCACCUUUGACAUGGCAGGAAUCCCGAAGAGAUUGGGAGUGCUCGAAAGAGAACCUGCACACAGGUGCUGCAUGGCUGUCGUCAGCUCGUGUCGUGAGAUGUUGGGUUAAGUCCCGCAACGAGCGCAACCCUUGCCAUUAGUUGCUACGAAAGGGCACUCUAAUGGGACUGCCGGUGACAAACCGGAGGAAGGUGGGGAUGACGUCAAGUCCUCAUGGCCCUUAUAGGUGGGGCUACACACGUCAUACAAUGGCCGGUACAGAGGGUAGCCAACCCGCGAGGGGGAGCCAAUCCCACAAAGCCGGUCGUAGUCCGGAUCGCAGUCUGCAACUCGACUGCGUGAAGUCGGAAUCGCUAGUAAUCGCGGAUCAGCAUGUCGCGGUGAAUACGUUCCCGGGCCUU
This 453-nucleotide ribosomal RNA is filed under the name uncultured Allobrachymonas sp. Its description in RNAcentral is "bacterial SSU rRNA". It matches the Rfam family "Bacterial small subunit ribosomal RNA", at positions 923 to 1382 of the family's 1533-position model. Lineage: Bacteria; Pseudomonadati; Pseudomonadota; Betaproteobacteria; Burkholderiales; Comamonadaceae. The record is from RNAcentral.